RNAcentral lists this long non-coding RNA (203 nucleotides) under Homo sapiens (human). RNAcentral describes it as "non-protein coding lnc-ASCL5-1:1". Lineage: Eukaryota; Metazoa; Chordata; Mammalia; Primates; Hominidae. The record is from RNAcentral.
CUGCUGGGCAGGCGGGCAGCCCCGGAGAUUCCGCAGUCCCCCCAGGAGGUUCAAGAGCCACUGAUCAGGAUAAGCGCUGCCGGAGGAACAAACCCAGAGAGAAAUGUUCCCGGGGACUCCCUCCACUGAGCUGGCGCACUCCUAACAGCAGCCAUCAGUUUGGGGACCCCGGACAGCCCGGGGAUCCCGAAGGCCGCGAGGAC